This 406-nucleotide ribosomal RNA is filed under the name uncultured bacterium. RNAcentral describes it as "partial 16S ribosomal RNA". It matches the Rfam family "Bacterial small subunit ribosomal RNA", at positions 28 to 526 of the family's 1533-position model. The record is from RNAcentral.
GAUGAACGCUAGCUACAGGCUUAACACAUGCAAGUCGAGGGACCGGCGCACGGGUGAGUAACACGUAUCCAACCUGCCCUUUACUCGGGGAUAGCCUUUCGACAGAAAGAUUAAUACCCGAUAUAAAGGAUGGGGAUGCGUUCCAUUAGGUUGUUGGGGAGGUAACGGCUCACCAAGCCUUCGAUGGAUAGGGGUUCUGAGAGGAAGGGCCCCCACAUUGGAACGGGGACACGGUCCAAACUCCGACGGGAGGCAGCAGUGAGGAAUAUUGGUCAAUGGGGGCUAGCCUGAAACAGCCAAGUAGCGUGAAUGAUGAAGGCUUAUGGGACGUAAACUUCUUUUAUAUAAGAAUAUGUAUUAUAGGAAUAAGGAUCGGCUAACUCCGUGCCAGCAGCCGCGGUAAUUC